Molecule: ribosomal RNA, 468 nt
Filed under: uncultured bacterium
Lineage: Bacteria
Description: partial 16S ribosomal RNA
Rfam family: Bacterial small subunit ribosomal RNA
Source: RNAcentral
GACGAACGCUGGCGGCGUGCCUAACACAUGCAAGUCGAACGGAAAGGCCCUGCUUUUGUGGGGUGCUCGAGUGGCGAACGGGUGAGUAACACGUGAGUAUCCUGCCCUUGACUUUGGGAUAACUUCAGGAAACUGGGGCUAAUAUCGGAUAGGAGCUCCUGCUGCAUGGUGGGGGAUGGAAAGUUUCGGCGGUUGGGGAUGGACUCGCGGCUUAUCAGCUUGUUGGUGGGGUAGUGGCUUACCAAGGCUUUGACGGGUAGCCGGCCUGAGAGGGUGACCGGCCACAUUGGGACUGAGAUACGGCCCAGACUCCUACGGGAGGCAGCAGUGGGGAAUAUUGCACAAUGGGCGGAAGCCUGAUGCAGCAGCGCCGCGUGCGGGAUGACGGCCUUCGGGUUGUAAACCGCUUUCGCCUGUGACGAAGCGUGAGUGACGGUAAUGGGUAAAGAAGCACCGGCUAACUACGUG